GACGAACGCUGGCGGCGUGCUUAACACAUGCGAGUCGAACGGAAAGGCCCUGCUUUUGUGAGGUGCUCGAGUGGCGAACGGGUGAGUAACACGUGAGUAACCUGCCCUUGACUUUGGGAUAACUUCAGGAAACUGGGGCUAAUACCGGAUAGGAGCUCCUGCUGCAUGGUGGGGGUUGGAAAGUUUCGGCGGUUGGGGAUGGACUCGCGGCUUAUCAGCUUGUUGGUGGGGUAGUGGCUUACCAAGGCUUUGACGGGUAGCCGGCUUGAGAGGGUGACCGGCCACAUUGGGACUGAGAUACGGCCCAGACUCCUACGGGAGGCAGCAGUGGGGAAUAUUGCACAAUGGGCGGAAGCCUGAUGCAGCAACGCCGCGUGCGGGAUGACGGCCUUCGGGUUGUAAACCGCUUUCGCCUGUGACGAAGCGUGAGUGACGGUAAUGGGUAAAGAAGCACCGGCUAACUACGUG
Molecule: ribosomal RNA, 468 nt
Filed under: uncultured bacterium
Lineage: Bacteria
Description: partial 16S ribosomal RNA
Rfam family: Bacterial small subunit ribosomal RNA
Source: RNAcentral